CCCGCCACGUCGGCAUCCGCAUCAGCAGCUGCGCAUGGAUCUUGGCGCUAGGAUGGCUGGCGUUGAGACAUGUAAGCUUGGCGUCAGCGUGGAUGGCGCCAAGCUGAGGGUCCAGAUUUUGAAAUGGUUCUACCAGGGACAUAUUUGUGAGAAUCUUUCACAAAAAGGGCCAAAAACAAAAAAGACGGGCUUGGGUACGAGAUUGACUUGCCAAAUCACCACGUGCUUCGCCUCUAAGUCAUCUAAAAUGAUGGUUCAUUGAAUGUGGACGCAUUUGGACGAUGAAUUGGUCCCCAAUCGGCCUACCCUCUUUUGGUCUCCGCUGGUCCUCGUCUUUCUCGUGUAGAUUUCUUGUAUUGUCCAAAGUCCAGGUCCAAAUCCAACUUAUACAAAAACCCUUCAUUUAUAUCGUAUUUCCUGUAAUUUUGCAAUAUGGUCCAAAGCACAAUACAUAUGUGAAUAUGGGGUUAUUUCAGGUGCCAAGUGGUGGGUUAGUAUAAGAAUAUGCAUGAAAAAGCUCUUCAAAUGGUACUAAAAGUGUGUCAAUAAUGAGCGUCAACACCUAGCCCAACCUACCGAUAGUCCCCAUAGUGUACUAGCUUAUACAAAUGUGUUGUGCCGAGGUUAGCUGUACAAAUUAGUAAUACUUCUGCAAGUGUUAAUAAUUACAUGUGGAAAUCGUACUCUUUCAUUCCCAUAUUUUUGUAUUGAAAAUAUUACUUGUCAAUUAUUAGCAGCAGUUAGCCACCAGUUUGUGAACCGCAAGCACAUGGAUUCAUUGUAGCUCUUUGUUUAAAGUAUUCCACCAAGGUUUAUCAAUCCGCGGAAAUAAGAUCAUAAGCUCUAAACUAACGAAGGACUGGAAAUCAUGAUUUAGGUUGAAAGACAUGUGAAUAGACAUGAACAGAUAUGAGCAUAUAUAUAUGUAUGUAUGUAUGUAUGUAUGUAUGUAUGUAUGUAUGUAUGUAUGUAUGUAUGUAUAUGAAGAGGUAACUCCUCUAUAGCAGAGCCUGUACUAUGCAUAUGUUAUAGUUCUAGCUAGAUAGUAAGCAACACAUGAUUCAAAUCAUCUUUAUAUCUCCACCUCCGGUCUGACUCCUGAAAACUGUACCUUACUAGGCAUAAGACCCUGUCACGAUCCUACAUACCGUUCAGUGUAAGUUUAAGGGCAUGAACACAAGCCACACGUCUAGCUAUUAUGAAAGAUUGGGUAUGCAAUUCUAGUCACUGCGACUACAAGAACACCCUAUACAAUCUAUGUCGACUAUAGAUUGGAAUAAGCAAACUCGUAGUAGAAACUUAUAAAAGGAGAAACAUGGAUCACUAUUGAAUUGGAACACGUCUAUUACUUUACCAUGAAUGAUUGUCUAUCACAAGAUCUCCACCAAGACCAUACCUAUGACUUGUGACUCCUAGCUCCAGAAUUCCAGCGUGGAUCUUCCUCGCAGGGUGAUCACACCGACCAGAGCCUAGCCCAAGCUAGCCUUCAGACAAUUGUGCGGUCCUCAGCUCUCUGUAGAUGGUUGUCCCACAAGCUCCUCGACUUCUGCUGCGAAUGGACUCCCUUGUGUCACACCCAGUUUUAAAACAAAACCAAGUGCUACCUAUAUGUAUGUCAGGAUCCAAUUUCAUACAUAUAGUGACAUCAUAAGUGAAUAACAGUAACAGGAUCACGUAAAGGAAUAAGAGAACAUAUCAGAGAUUUACGCUUAAUCCUGGAAACGAAGGCUCCAAACUUCA
This 1740-nucleotide long non-coding RNA is filed under the name Setaria italica (foxtail millet). Its description in RNAcentral is "long non-coding RNA (SITA_LNC005170)". Lineage: Eukaryota; Viridiplantae; Streptophyta; Magnoliopsida; Poales; Poaceae. The record is from RNAcentral.